GGAGAGUAGGCAAAUAGUGGUUUGUUGCAACCGACUGCUAAUCGGUUUUGUUCAAAAGGCAAUGAGAGUUCGAUUCUCUUGCUCUCCG
Molecule: transfer RNA, 88 nt
Filed under: Flavobacterium sp. WW92
Lineage: Bacteria; Pseudomonadati; Bacteroidota; Flavobacteriia; Flavobacteriales; Flavobacteriaceae
Description: tRNA-Ser
Rfam family: tRNA
About the family: Transfer RNA (tRNA) molecules are approximately 80 nucleotides in length. Their secondary structure includes four short double-helical elements and three loops (D, anti-codon, and T loops).
Source: RNAcentral